Molecule: ribosomal RNA, 163 nt
Filed under: uncultured bacterium
Lineage: Bacteria
Description: partial 16S ribosomal RNA
Rfam family: Bacterial small subunit ribosomal RNA
Source: RNAcentral
UAGGGAAUCUUCCACGAUGGGCGAAAGCCUGAUGGAGCAACGCCGCGUGUGUGAUGAAGGCUUUCGGUCGUAAAGCACUGUUGUAUGGGAAGAACAGCUAGAAUAGGAAAUGAUUUUAGUUUGACGGUACCAUACCAGAAAGGGACGGCUAACUACGUGCCAG